UACGAAGGGGGCUAGCGUUGCUCGGAAUUACUGGGCGUAAAGCGCACGUAGGCGGAUCUUUAAGUCAGGGGUGAAAUCCUGGAGCUCAACUCCAGAACUGCCUUUGAUACUGAGGACCUUGAGUUCGGGAGAGGUGAGUGGAACUGCGAGUGUAGAGGUGAAAUUCGUAGAUAUUCGCAAGAACACCAGUGGCGAAGGCGGCUCACUGGCCCGAUACUGACGCUGAGGUGCGAAAGCGUGGGGAGCAAACAGGG
This 254-nucleotide ribosomal RNA is filed under the name uncultured bacterium. RNAcentral describes it as "partial 16S ribosomal RNA". It matches the Rfam family "Bacterial small subunit ribosomal RNA", at positions 524 to 777 of the family's 1533-position model. The record is from RNAcentral.